UGCUGGCGACCGGCAAACGGGUGCGGAACACGUACGCAACCUACCCAAAACUGGGGAAUAGCCCGGGGAAACCCGGAUUAAUACCUCGUAACAUUGUGAAGUGGCAUCAUUUUACAAUUAUAGCUCCGGCGGUUUUGGAUGGGCGUGCGCCUGAUUAGGUAGUUGGUAGGGGUAACGGCCCACCAAGCCUUCGAUCAGUAACUGGUGUGAGAGCACGACCAGUCACACGGGCACUGAGACACGGGCCCGACUCCUACGGGAGGCAGCAGUAAGGAAUAUUGGUCAAUGGACGCAAGUCUGAACCAGCCAUGCCGCGUGAAGGAUGAAGGUCCUCUGGAUUGUAAACUUCUUUUAUGGGGGACGAAACCUCUUUUUCUAAAGAGACUGACGGUACCCUAGGAAUAAGCACCGGCUAACUCCGUGCCAGCAGCCGCGGUAAUACGGAGGGUGCAAGCGUUA
Molecule: ribosomal RNA, 459 nt
Filed under: uncultured bacterium
Lineage: Bacteria
Description: bacterial SSU rRNA
Rfam family: Bacterial small subunit ribosomal RNA
Source: RNAcentral